This 71-nucleotide transfer RNA is filed under the name bovine gut metagenome. It matches the Rfam family "tRNA". From Rfam's summary of the family: Transfer RNA (tRNA) molecules are approximately 80 nucleotides in length. The record is from RNAcentral.
GUGCGGUAGUUCAGUUGGUUAGAAUACCGGCCUGUCACGCCGUAGGUCGCGAGUUCGAGUCUCGUCCGCAC